AACGAACGCUGGCGGCAGGCCUAAUACAUGCAAGUCGAACGCCUGUAGCAAUACAGGAGUGGCGCACGGGUGAGUAACACGUGGGUAUCUACCUAGCUGUACGGAACAACCGCGGGAAACUGCGGCUAAUACCGUAUACGCCCUUCGGGGGAAAGAUUUAUCGCAGCUAGAUGAGCCCGCGUCCGAUUAGCUAGUUGGUG
RNAcentral lists this ribosomal RNA (200 nucleotides) under uncultured bacterium. Its description in RNAcentral is "partial 16S ribosomal RNA". It matches the Rfam family "Bacterial small subunit ribosomal RNA", at positions 29 to 254 of the family's 1533-position model. The record is from RNAcentral.